RNAcentral lists this transfer RNA (72 nucleotides) under bacterium. RNAcentral's name for it is "tRNA-Val". It matches the Rfam family "tRNA". From Rfam's summary of the family: Transfer RNA (tRNA) molecules are approximately 80 nucleotides in length. Their secondary structure includes four short double-helical elements and three loops (D, anti-codon, and T loops). Further hydrogen bonds mediate the characteristic L-shaped molecular structure. tRNAs have two regions of fundamental functional importance: the anti-codon, which is responsible for specific mRNA codon recognition, and the 3' end, to which the tRNAs corresponding amino acid is attached (by aminoacyl-tRNA synthetases). tRNAs cope with the degeneracy of the genetic code in two manners: having more than one tRNA (with a specific anti-codon) for a particular amino acid; and 'wobble' base-pairing, i.e. permitting non-standard base-pairing at the 3rd anti-codon position. The record is from RNAcentral.
GGACGAUUAGCUCAGUGGUAGAGCAUUGCAUUCACAUUGCAAGGGCCGCUGGUUCAAGCCCAGCAUCGUCCA